UACUGUACCUUAGUUGCUUCGGCGGGCCCGCCAUUCAUGGCCGCCGGGGGCUCUCAGCCCCGGGCCCGCGCCCGCCGGAGACACCACGAACUCUGUCUGAUCUAGUGAAGUCUGAGUUGAUUGUAUCGCAAUCAGUUAAAACUUUCAACAAUGGAUCUCUUGGUUCCGGCAUCGAUGAAGAACGCAGCGAAAUGCGAUAACUAGUGUGAAUUGCAGAAUUCCGUGAAUCAUCGAGUCUUUGAACGCACAUUGCGCCCCCUGGUAUUCCGGGGGGCAUGCCUGUCCGAGCGUCAUUGCUGCCCAUCAAGCACGGCUUGUGUGUUGGGUCGUCGUCCCCUCUCCGGGGGGGACGAGCCACAAAGGCAGCGGCGGCACCGCGUCCGAUCCUCGAGCGUAUGGGGCUUUGUCACCCGCUCUGUAGGCCCGGCCGGCGCUUGCCGAACGCAAAUCAAUCUUUUUCCAGGUUGACCUCGGAUCAGGUAGGGAUACCCGCUGAACUUAAGCAUAUCAUAGCCGAAGGAACUUACCGAGUGUAGGGUUCCUAGCGAGCCCACCC
Molecule: ribosomal RNA, 556 nt
Filed under: Aspergillus flavus
Lineage: Eukaryota; Fungi; Ascomycota; Eurotiomycetes; Eurotiales; Aspergillaceae
Description: eukaryotic LSU rRNA
Rfam family: 5.8S ribosomal RNA (bases 140-293)
Source: RNAcentral